This 305-nucleotide ribosomal RNA is filed under the name Trypetesa habei. Its description in RNAcentral is "partial 12S ribosomal RNA". The record is from RNAcentral. Lineage: Eukaryota; Metazoa; Arthropoda; Thecostraca; Lithoglyptida; Trypetesidae.
CAAUCAAACCUAAUUAGAGGAACCUGUCCUAUAAACGACAAUCCACGAAAACCUUACCUUUUUUUGUGUCUUCAACUUGUAUACCGCUGUGUUCAGGAGCUUCUCACAAGAAAUAUCCUUAACUAGGGAGCAAAGUGCUCCCCAACCAACUCAAGUCAGGGUGCAGUUAAUGAAAAGGAAAGAGAUGGGUUACAAUUAAUUCAAGUUAAUGGAGACUUAAGUAAAAAUCUUUAGUCUAAAAUGGAUUUAAUAGUAAGAGUUUCGUAGAAAAAAGCUCUGAAUGAAGAAAUGAUUAGUGUACAAAC